This 202-nucleotide long non-coding RNA is filed under the name Mytilus galloprovincialis (Mediterranean mussel). Lineage: Eukaryota; Metazoa; Mollusca; Bivalvia; Mytilida; Mytilidae. The record is from RNAcentral.
CACAAAAGCGAAGGGAUAUUAAAGCAACUUGAGAAAUGUUGUCAAUAUAUAUAUAUUUGUUUAACAAAGGUUGGCGUUGACCCGCACAAUGUGGCAUGAGAAUUAUGUGUUAACGCUGAAAUAUCUAUGAUAGUGUAUAGUAUAUCAACAAACACACAACAAUGUCUGGCCAUCAUUAAAAAACAAUCUCUCUAUUUACGAC